RNAcentral lists this ribosomal RNA (392 nucleotides) under uncultured bacterium. RNAcentral's name for it is "partial 16S ribosomal RNA". It matches the Rfam family "Bacterial small subunit ribosomal RNA", at positions 523 to 918 of the family's 1533-position model. The record is from RNAcentral.
AUACGGAGGAUCCGAGCGUUAUCCGGAUUUAUUGGGUUUAAAGGGUGCGCAGGCGGCCAUUUAAGUCAGCGGUUAAAUCGUGGGGCUCAACCCCAUUCUGCCGUUGAUACUGGGUGGCUUGAUUGCGGUCGAGGUUGGCGGAAUUCGUUGUGUAGCGGUGAAAUGCAUAGAUGUGACGAAGAACACCGAUUGCGUAGGCAGCUGACCAGACCGCAAAUGACGCUCAUGCACGAAAGUGCGGGGAUCGAACAGGAUUAGAUACCCUGGUAGUCCGCACAGUAAACGAUGAAUACUUGUUUUCGGCGAUAUAAUGUCGGAGGCAAAGCGAAAGCGAUAAGUAUUCCACCUGGGGAGUACGCCGGCAACGGUGAAACUCAAAUGAAUUGACGGGG